GACGAACGCUGGCGGCGUGCUUAACACAUGCAAGUCGAACGGUAAGGCCCUUCGGGGUACACGAGUGGCGAACGGGUGAGUAACACGUGGGUGAUCUGCCCUGCACUUCGGGAUAAGCCUGGGAAACUGGGUCUAAUACCGGAUAGGACCACUGCCUGCAUGGGUGGUGGUGGAAAGCUUUUGCGGUGUGGGAUGGGCCCGCGGCCUAUCAGCUUGUUGGUGGGGUGAUGGCCUACCAAGGCGACGACGGGUAGCCGGCCUGAGAGGGUGACCGGCCACACUGGGACUGGGAUACGGCCCAGACUCCGACGGGAGGCAGCGGUGGGGAAUAUUGAACAAUGGGCGCAAGCCUGAUGCAGCGACGCCGCGUGAGGGAUGACGGCCUUCGGGUUGUAAACCUCUUUCAGCACCGACGAAGCGCAAGUGACGGUAGGUGCAGAAGAAGGACCGGCCAACUACGUGCCAGCCGCCGCGGUAA
This 478-nucleotide ribosomal RNA is filed under the name uncultured bacterium. RNAcentral's name for it is "partial 16S ribosomal RNA". It matches the Rfam family "Bacterial small subunit ribosomal RNA", at positions 28 to 523 of the family's 1533-position model. The record is from RNAcentral.